UAGAGUUUGAUCAUGGCUCAGGACGAACGCUGGCGGCGUGCUUAACACAUGCAAGUCGAACGGAAAGGUCUCUUCGGAGACACUCGAGUGGCGAACGGGUGAGUAACACGUGGGCAAUCUGCCCUGCACACCGGGAUAAGCCUGGGAAACUGGGUCUAAUACCGGAUAGGACCACUUGGCGCAUGCCUUGUGGUGGAAAGCUUUUGCGGUGUGGGAUGGGCCCGCGGCCUAUCAGCUUGUUGGUGGGGUGACGGCCUACCAAGGCGACGACGGGUAGCCGGCCUGAGAGGGUGUCCGGCCACACUGGGACUGAGAUACGGCCCAGACUCCUACGGGAGGCAGCAGUGGGGAAUAUUGCACAAUGGGCGCAAGCCUGAUGCAGCGACGCCGCGUGGGGGAUGACGGCCUUCGGGUUGUAAACCUCUUUCACCAUCGACGAAGGUCCGGGUUCUCUCGGAUUGACGGUAGGUGGAGAAGAAGCACCGGCCAACUACGUGCCAGCAGCCGCGGUAAUACGUAGGGUGCGAGCGUUGUCCGGAAUUACUGGGCGUAAAGAGCUCGUAGGUGGUUUGUCGCGUUGUUCGUGAAAUCUCACGGCUUAACUGUGAGCGUGCGGGCGAUACGGGCAGACUAGAGUACUGCAGGGGAGACUGGAAUUCCUGGUGUAGCGGUGGAAUGCGCAGAUAUCAGGAGGAACACCGGUGGCGAAGGCGGGUCUCUGGGCAGUAACUGACGCUGAGGAGCGAAAGCGUGGGGAGCGAACAGGAUUAGAUACCCUGGUAGUCCACGCCGUAAACGGUGGGUACUAGGUGUGGGUUUCCUUCCUUGGGAUCCGUGCCGUAGCUAACGCAUUAAGUACCCCGCCUGGGGAGUACGGCCGCAAGGCUAAAACUCAAAGGAAUUGACGGGGGCCCGCACAAGCGGCGGAGCAUGUGGAUUAAUUCGAUGCAACGCGAAGAACCUUACCUGGGUUUGACAUGCACAGGACGCGUCUAGAGAUAGGCGUUCCCUUGUGGCCUGUGUGCAGGUGGUGCAUGGCUGUCGUCAGCUCGUGUCGUGAGAUGUUGGGUUAAGUCCCGCAACGAGCGCAACCCUUGUCUCAUGUUGCCAGCGGGUAAUGCCGGGGACUCGUGAGAGACUGCCGGGGUCAACUCGGAGGAAGGUGGGGAUGACGUCAAGUCAUCAUGCCCCUUAUGUCCAGGGCUUCACACAUGCUACAAUGGCCGGUACAAAGGGCUGCGAUGCCGCGAGGUUAAGCGAAUCCUUUUAAAGCCGGUCUCAGUUCGGAUCGGGGUCUGCAACUCGACCCCGUGAAGUCGGAGUCGCUAGUAAUCGCAGAUCAGCAACGCUGCGGUGAAUACGUUCCCGGGCCUUGUACACACCGCCCGUCACGUCAUGAAAGUCGGUAACACCCGAAGCCAGUGGCCUAACCCUCGGGAGGGAGCUGUCGAAGGUGGGAUCGGCGAUUGGACGAAGUCGUAACAAGUAGC
RNAcentral lists this ribosomal RNA (1490 nucleotides) under Mycobacterium kansasii. RNAcentral describes it as "bacterial SSU rRNA". It matches the Rfam family "Bacterial small subunit ribosomal RNA". The record is from RNAcentral. Lineage: Bacteria; Bacillati; Actinomycetota; Actinomycetes; Mycobacteriales; Mycobacteriaceae.